AGAGGCAUAGAAGAGAAAACGAAAUAAGACCAAAAGAAAGAUUAAAAAAAACUCAGGUAAAUAGACCGUCGAGAGGGAGUCGGGGUUUCUUUUCUGUCGAACUACGAAGGCAGUUGUAGUGCGCGCCGCUGUGAUCAUUUAAAACUUUGUUAAAAGGAUAAAACUUAAGAAAACUUGCAUGCAUAUGAAGUGAAUUAGUGCUAAACAAAAAAACAGAUGCUAAAAAGUUCCUGUGAGAGACUUAAAAGCUAAUAGUACGUGAAAAAGAUAAUAGCAUCUCUUUAGAAGCCAGCUCACCUUCAAUAGGUGUUAAUUUGUAUAGAAGAAAAGGCCCGAUUCUGCUUCCGGGCCUUUUCUUUUCUUUUUGUGCCCACGGGUGUGACCCCGGAGGACAUUCUAUUCCGCAGUGCCAUCCAGAAACUAGUUCGCGAUCCCAAAACUGGAAGAAACUAGUUGGCGUGGCUUGUGUCAGUUUUCGGUGAGGCAAAGUACAUCAGGGAACGGAAUCAAUCACCGUCCGAGCCGCCAUCGCGCCCCCUGGGAACGCUAUCCUGUGCAAGUCGCCAUUGCGCUUGGCUGGUCACCGGCAAUCAUCUUCCGACCGACAUCGAUUGGCCGCAGCCAACUGAAACCGCCAUCUCGCUUGCCUGGUCGCCGGCAAGCAUCUUCCAGCCGACAUCGAUUGGCCGCAGCCACCUGAAACCGCCAUCUCGCAUGCCUGGUCGCCAGCGAUCAUCUUUCGACUGACAUCGAUUGGCCACAGCCAUCAGAAACCGCCAUCUUGCCUGCCUGGUCGCCGGAAAUCAGCUUUCGACCGACGACGAAUAACUCUCGACCUUCAGCAAUCGCCAUCGCUCCAUUUGGGCCACAGGCCUACAGAACGAGUGGCGAAUAGCCCCCCCCCCUCCAGCACGCGAAGGGGAAGUGGACCCGGGUAUCCAACUGUAAACCGUCUGGCCAUCUCUAGAACCCGCCGCCGGUGCUCACCACGUCGCACACUCUCCACCGCCCAGCCAUCUACGAACUUCCAAGACGAUCCGAAGCAAUCAGGCUCACGAAAUCCUCGCAUACCGCUGGAGGUCAUCCAUCGCCAUCGACCCAAUGCUAGCCGACGAGACCAUCGCUGCCUGACAACCCCCGUAAAAGCGCAAGUACACCAUUUCUCUCUCUCCAUAUAAUAUGCCCAAGGGGCGAAUAAAAUCAUAAUGUUAAGACAAAGUAUUGAGUCAGGUCAUUUAUGAGCAGCACUCCCUCAUUGCAUAUGCAUGGUAUUGUUCCGUUCCGUACCUGAAUGGUAUUCAAGCCUUGGUCUUGGUAGUUCACCUGGAUAAGACUCCGUUACCUCGAUU
Armigeres subalbatus is the source of this 1349-nucleotide long non-coding RNA. RefSeq lists it as uncharacterized. NCBI's taxonomy places the organism in Eukaryota, Metazoa, Arthropoda, Insecta, Diptera, Culicidae. The transcript has 3 exons. The record is from RefSeq and is a predicted model, not a curated record.